This 71-nucleotide transfer RNA is filed under the name Loxodonta africana (African savanna elephant). It matches the Rfam family "tRNA". From Rfam's summary of the family: Transfer RNA (tRNA) molecules are approximately 80 nucleotides in length. Their secondary structure includes four short double-helical elements and three loops (D, anti-codon, and T loops). Lineage: Eukaryota; Metazoa; Chordata; Mammalia; Proboscidea; Elephantidae. The record is from Rfam by way of RNAcentral.
GCACUGGUGGUUCAGUGGUAGAACUCUCACUUUCCAUGCGGGAGACCCGGGUUCGAUUCCCGACCAACGCA